RNAcentral lists this ribosomal RNA (253 nucleotides) under uncultured bacterium. RNAcentral describes it as "partial 16S ribosomal RNA". It matches the Rfam family "Bacterial small subunit ribosomal RNA", at positions 524 to 776 of the family's 1533-position model. The record is from RNAcentral.
UACGAAGGGGGCUAGCGUUGCUCGGAAUCACUGGGCGUAAAGGACGCGUAGGCGGAUCUUUAAGUCAGGGGUGAAAGCCUGAGGCUCAACCUCAGAACUGCCCUUGAUACUGGGAGUCUUGAGUAUGGUAGAGGUUGGUGGAACAGCAAGUGUAGAGGUGAAAUUCGUAGAUAUUUGCUAGAACACCAGUGGCGAAGGCGGCCAACUGGACCAUAACUGACGCUGAGGUGCGAAAGCGUGGGGAGCAAACAGG